RNAcentral lists this transfer RNA (76 nucleotides) under Bacillota bacterium. RNAcentral describes it as "tRNA-Thr". It matches the Rfam family "tRNA". From Rfam's summary of the family: Transfer RNA (tRNA) molecules are approximately 80 nucleotides in length. Their secondary structure includes four short double-helical elements and three loops (D, anti-codon, and T loops). Lineage: Bacteria; Bacillati; Bacillota. The record is from RNAcentral.
GCCGGAAUAGCUCAACUGGUAGAGCAACUGACUUGUAAUCAGUAGGUUGCGGGUUCAAGUCCUGUUUCCGGCACCA